RNAcentral lists this ribosomal RNA (489 nucleotides) under uncultured soil bacterium. RNAcentral describes it as "bacterial SSU rRNA". It matches the Rfam family "Bacterial small subunit ribosomal RNA", at positions 26 to 518 of the family's 1533-position model. The record is from RNAcentral.
AGGACGAACGCUGGCGGCGUGCUUAACACAUGCAAGUCGAGCGGUAAGGCCUUUCGGGGUACACGAGCGGCGAACGGGUGAGUAACACGUGAGUAAUCUGCCCUUCACUCUGGGAUAAGCACUCGAAAGGGUGUCUAAUACCGGAUACGACCGUCCCUCGCAUGAGGUGGUGGUGGAAACUUUUGUGGGUGGGGGAUGUGCUCGCGGCCUAUCAGCUUGUUGGUGGGGUAAUGGCCUACCAAGGCUUCGACGGGUAGCCGGCCUGAGAGGGUGACCGGCCACGACUGGGACUGAGACACGGCCCAGACUCCUACGGGAGGCAGCAGUGGGGAAUAGUGGACAAUGGGCGGAAGCCUGAUCCAGCAACGCGCGUGAGGGAUGACGGCCUUCGGUCGUAAACCUCUUUCAUCAUUGACGAAGCUUCGACGUUGAGUGGGUAGACGGUAGGUGGAGAAGAAGCGACCGGCAACGUACGUGACCAGCAGCCGC